Molecule: ribosomal RNA, 253 nt
Filed under: uncultured bacterium
Lineage: Bacteria
Description: partial 16S ribosomal RNA
Rfam family: Bacterial small subunit ribosomal RNA
Source: RNAcentral
UACGUAGGGUGCAAGCGUUAAUCGGAAUUACUGGGCGUAAAGCGUGCGCGGGCGGUUUUGUAAGACAGAUGUGAAAUCCCCGGGCUCAACCUGGGAGCUGCAUUUGUGACUGCACGGCUGGAGUGCGGCAGAGGGGGAUGGAAUUCCGCGUGUAGCAGUGAAAUGCGUAGAUAUGCGGAGGAACACCGAUGGCGAAGGCAAUCCCCUGGGCCUGCACUGACGCUCAUGCACGAAAGCGUGGGGAGCAAACAGG